RNAcentral lists this unclassified non-coding RNA (5219 nucleotides) under Aplysia californica (California sea hare). Its description in RNAcentral is "mAGUK p55 subfamily member 5, transcript variant X4". Lineage: Eukaryota; Metazoa; Mollusca; Gastropoda; Aplysiida; Aplysiidae. The record is from RNAcentral.
GACCGCUGGUCACGCAUGGAUCUUAACGGCUAUGUUAUUCUUUUCGCCCAGACUACAGAUCAUAAGACAAAGCUCUUAGGAUGCCCUUCGGACCAGACAGAUUUUGAGACUGGGGAUGAAAUAAUUGAAGUCAAUGGCCGCUUGGUCAAGAACUGCCCGGAGGAAUGUUUGACAAGAUAUAUCAGACAGUGUAUCAAGUCCAGAAUAAUCAGUCUUAGAGUAAAACGAAGGAAGAGCAAUCGUCAUAAAGCUUGGAAUAUAGAGAAAAUUCACGACGCGUAUGUGAUAGCUGUCGAAGAUGAGGCUCGUGAGAAACUUGAUCGCCUCGCCUGGGCUCAACAGGUGCAGGUGGUGGACAUGUCUCAGCUGAUUGCACCCACUGUCACAGAAGUCACAGCUACUACAACUGUUACAUCAACUGUUGCUGCUGUCAGCUCUGUCACCACCACUCCCACUGCCAUCAGCAGCCCCACAGCAUCAACACAGCAACAGCAUAGUCUCGGGACAUUUGUAGCAGACACCACCACAGCCAGUGCAGAGUUCUCAGCUAAUAAAGCUUUGACCUGCACCACCACAACAGUGGUCAGUGACACUGAUACUCAAGUGACCGUCACUACCAGCACAGCCGCAGUUGUCACAACGCAGGGCCUCAGUGCUCGUGGUGGCCAGGGUCGCGGGCUGGAGGCCAAGACGUCUGGGAAACAACGCUGGAGGCGGGGGGAGGGCGGAGAGGAAUUUUUUGUUCAGCAGAACCCGCUCUACGAGUCUGCAGCUGCUCUCAUCAACUCUGCAGAUCCAGCGUCCAUGCCUGGAGAAAAGAAAAAGAAAAACAGCCCUUCUCCAAGAGGAGGGUUUGACAGCGGCACAACCAACGGUGGUAGUGGAGAAGAGAGUGGGGAAUGGAUGGAGAUGAAUGGCUAUAAUGACACAGGCAAAAAGAACAAAGGUAAAAGACGCAGCAAGAAUGGUGGUGGGGAGAGCCCAGCCAUUGGCGACUUCCUCUUCAAUGGGUCCAUCAACAUGAACAGCAAUGGCAGUGACCCUCACUACCGAAAUGGUGGUCACUCUCAGCUCAGUGGCAGCUACGACCUCAGCAGGGACAGCUCCUUUGACCUUGAACUUGAUGACCCUGGCCCACACCGUGAGAUGGCCAUUGAUGUGCCAGAGAACUUUGUGGCGAGCGUCAAGUCCCCACCUCGCUACCCACCGCCCCAGGUGGCUAGCAGCAUGCACAACCAGAUGAAAGACAGGGGAAAUAACUCUCACUCUCAGACCUCACUUAAUUCCGGUGCAAACAGUACUAAACACCAGUCCUCCAGUCUCCUACAACCGGCUGCACAUCCGGCCCAACCCACAGCCCAUGAGUUGGAAAGAUUGCAUCAUCAUCAAGAAGAACUCAAGAAACGUAGAGAGGAAGAAAGUCGCCAGCAGGCAGAGGAGGAUUUCCUACGAGCUUCUUUAAGGGGUUCCAAAAAGCUCCAGGCCUUGGAAAACAAGAAACCACUGACACAGAUCCCCUCAGGGUUUGUCAACACAGCUUUUGAUGAUGAGGAUGAUUUGGAGGACGAAGAGGAUGAUGAAGUUGAUGACAUUGAGGCCAAGUCUCAGCCCAGACAGUUGUCAGAUGUUAUGGUUGAGGAUCGGUACCUGAAGAAGAAUAUUGGUGUGGAAGACCUGUUCUCCAGCCUGCACCACAUCCGUAGCACAAUCACUGGGCCGGAGGACCAGAAAUACAUUGCCUUCCUGCGAUCAUUGUUCCAAAACGACCAGUUCCAGCAGGCUGUGAAUCUGCACUGUCAGGUGAUUGAGAUUAUGUCAAGGUCACCACCAGUUCGACCUCUGACGGAUGAUGUUGCUGAAACAGGCACAGAAGUCCAGUACAUGAUGACCCAAGCCCCACAUGAUCCUCAUGCCCAGGAGUUAUUUGCCCUGCUCAGUUCUCCUUAUCUUAAGAGUGUGCUAGAGUGUCAGGAUGCAGUGGCCCAGCAGGUUUUGCAGGCCCAAGAGGAGAUGGUGUACCAGGGGGAGGUUUUGGACUAUCCACUGGUCCAGUAUGGUGAGGACAGUGUCAAGAUCAUACACCUGGAAAAGACCAAUGUGCAUUUGGGUGCUACAGUAAAGAAUGAAGGUGACUCGGUUAUCAUUGGUCGCAUUGUAAAAGGUGGAGCUGCAGAGGAAAGCGGCUUGUUGCAUGAAGGUGAUGAGAUCCUGGAGGUGAACGGCGUUGACAUGAGAGGCCGCAACAUCAACGAAGUCUCAGAGAUGCUGGCGAACAUGAGUGGAACCAUCACUUUUAUCAUCAUCCCUGGGCACCGAGCUCAACUCAAUUCUCAGCAACGAUCAAACAUUAUGCAUCUGAGGGCGCUGUUUGCAUACGAUCCUGAGGAUGACCCAUACAUCCCUUGCCGUGAGCUGGGCAUCAGCUUUUGCAGAGGGGAGAUCCUGCAUGCUAUUGCACUGGAUGACCCCAACUGGUGGCAGGCUUAUCGGGAAGGAGAGGAGGAGGAUCAAUCGUUAGCAGGGCUUAUACCUAGCAAGUCUUUCACUGAACAACGAGUUGCAAUGCUCACUGCAAUGGAGAACAAAGAGAACAAAAGAAAGGGAAGGGUAUGUGCCUGUGGCAGGAAGGAAAGGAAAAAAAAGAAAAAGAAAAAGUCCCUGUACAAUGGAGGAUCUGAAGAUGCAGAAGAGACUCUGACUUAUGAAGAAAUCUCUCGCUACUUCCCGCAACCCAACCGCAAACGACCUAUCAUCCUGAUCGGCCCCUCCAAUGUUGGCCGACAAGAGCUACAGCAAAGACUCAUUGACUCUGACCCGGAUAGAUUUGGUGCUCCAGUGCCUCACACUACACGUCCACGACGAGCCAGUGAGGUGGACGGCAGCAAUUACCAUUACAUCAGCCGCGUAGACUUCCAGGCAAUGAUCCAGCAGAAUCAGUUUGUGGAGUACGGGGAGCACCAAAAGAACUUCUAUGGCACCUCGGUGGCUGCCAUCCGACAGUUGGUGGCUCAGGGCAAGGUCUGCAUGCUCAAACUACAGCCAGAGUCCUUGAAAGUGGUGAGGGCCUCCAGCUUCAUGCCCUAUGUGGUCUUUGUGAGGCCGCCCAAUCUGGACAAGCUUCGGCAGUUGCAGGACCAGCUAGACAAAGCCAGACCUCUGGAGGAGGCGGAGAGAGGCAGACUUGUGUUCACGGAUGACCAGCUGAAGGAGAUCAUCGAUAAAGCACGCGAAAUUGAAGAACUGUAUAGCCACUACUUUGACUUUGUCUUGGUGAACAGUGACCUAGACAGAGCCUAUGCCGAGCUACUGGAAGAGAUCAACCGCAUUGACAUGGAACCCCAGUGGGUGCCCGCAGCCUGGGUGGAUAGUUUGUGAGGCCGUCUGGGACAAGUUUGUGAGGCCAUCUGGUUGGAUAGUUGAACAAGUUUAUGAGGCCAUCUGAGCGGAUAGUAAGACAAGUUUGUGAGGCUGUCCGGUUUGGUAGUUGGACAGGUUGUAAGUCCUCUUUGGUGGACAGUUGGACAGGUUGUGAGGUCCCACCUGUGUGGAUAACUGGACAGGUUGUGAGGUCCCACCUGGGUGAAUAACUGAACAGGUUGUGAGGUCCCACCUGGGUGAACAGUUGGACAGGUUGUGAGGUCCCACUUGGGUGGACAGUUGGACAGGUUGUGAGGUUCCACCUGGGUGGAUAACUGGACAGCCCCACGUGAGUGAAUAACUGGACAGGUCCAAGGUGGACAGUUAGACAGGCUGUGAGGUCCUUCCAAGGUGGACAGUUGGACAGGUUGUGAGGUCCUUCCAAGGUGGACAGUUGGACAGGUUGUGAGGUCCUUCCAAGGUGGACAGUUGGACAGGUUGUGAGGUCCUUCCAAGGUGGACAGUUGGACAGGUUGUGAGGCAGCCUAAGGCUGUUCAGGUGCAAGCUGUUCUUUAAAAAAAAAAUAACUGUUGCAUGGUUUAUUUCAACAUUUUAAAGUGUGCUUAUGGUUCAGUCAGCCUCAGCAAAUAGAGGGUGAAAAAACUGUUUUGGACACGUCAAGAAGGCGUAUGUGCGGAGUGCAAUGUGUGUGUUCUUUUGAGCGAAACUAGUGAGAGGGACACUGAAUGUCAGAAUCAUCAUGAGGAACAGUUUGAUCUAGAACUCGUCUCUCUCUUACACACAACAGGGAUAUAUGGUAGAAGGGACAGCUGACUAGGAGCUUGUGAUUGGCCAUCUCAUUACUACACCAGACAGCAUGUCAAUUCUUAUACUGAUCUAAAUUAAAUUUGUCCUGCAGAAAUUACAAAAUGUCAACUUUGAAGCAUGGAAUAUAUUCAGUGUUUGUUGUUUUAUGAGUUUGGAGCUGACAUGCUCUAGUUACUUUUGAGAAUUAGGAAAUAGUUUGGAGCUCAAAUUUUUCUAAUCCAUGAGAACUACUGCUGGACUCCUUAACUUUUUAGGGCAAAGGUGAGCUGUACAGUCUUUUAGAUUUCUUUGUUUUGUUUUGGCGUGGUGGAAAUUCCUCAGCCCAAACUGAAUUGACCCAUGUAAUUUCAGGUUGGGCUUGAAAAAGUACCCAACUUGUACCAAGUGCUUUAUAUUCGACUGUUUUAGAAUGUGUUUGUCUGGUGUUGGGGUUGUGAAAAGUGCUCUGGUCUAUUUCUCUUUUGUAAGAGAACAGGUUCCUGUUUGAGAUGUAGAAAGGUAGCUGUGAGUGUACAGCAUUAUAGUCAUGUUUCCUUUCUCAGUUUUUUCUCAGAGGGGUGUUUUUCUCCAUGGUCUUUCUGAUGUCAUUAUGAAUGCUAGAGCAGUACAGCGUCGUCUACAUGAAGUGUCCAAGGCUAGUCUAGGGUUCUCAUAGUUCAAAUGUGGCAAAUGACCAUCACUUGUUCUAAAUAUGGGUUUUAUCCUUUUAGUUUGAUAUUUUAAGAGAUGGUCUUUUGGGCUUUCUAACGAAUUUUGUUCAUAUUAAGAUCUUUGGGGGGGGGUAUUUUUGUGUGUGUUUGUUUGAAUGCAUGCAUGUGGGGAGGGUGGCAGAGGGUUGCUUUCUCAGGCAUUCCGAUGUUUAGAAGCUGCUUUUGAAAUUUGAGUUUUGCAUCUAAACAGAAAUGUAUAUAAAUGCACACACGUACACAUGUUUAUGUUUGUGUGUGUGUGUGCGUGCGUGUACGUGCAUGCAUGUAUGGGCACGCAAUGACGUUAUAUACAGGUAUGUAUUAUUAUUAUUACUCGUUCCUUU